Molecule: transfer RNA, 51 nt
Filed under: Pristimantis cruentus (Chiriqui robber frog)
Lineage: Eukaryota; Metazoa; Chordata; Amphibia; Anura; Strabomantidae
Description: tRNA-Tyr
Source: RNAcentral
UGGCNAAAAAAGGACUUUAACCUCUGUCAUUGGAGCUACAAACCACCGCCA